GACGAACGCUGGCGGCGUGCCUAAUACAGCAAGUUGAGCGCUGAAGGUUGGUACUUGUACCGACUGGAUGAGCAGCGAACGGGUGAGUAACGCGUGGGGAAUCUGCCUUUGAGCGGGGGACAACAUUUGGAAACGAAUGCUAAUACCGCAUAAAAACCUUAAACACAAGUUUUAAGUUUGAAAGAUGCAAUUGCAUCACUCAAAGAUGAUCCCGCGUUGUAUUAGCUAGUUGGUGAGGUAAAGGCUCACCAAGGCGAUGAUACA
RNAcentral lists this ribosomal RNA (264 nucleotides) under Lactococcus lactis. Its description in RNAcentral is "partial 16S rRNA". It matches the Rfam family "Bacterial small subunit ribosomal RNA", at positions 28 to 283 of the family's 1533-position model. Lineage: Bacteria; Bacillati; Bacillota; Bacilli; Lactobacillales; Streptococcaceae. The record is from RNAcentral.